This 1794-nucleotide ribosomal RNA is filed under the name Haemophilus influenzae. RNAcentral's name for it is "bacterial LSU rRNA". It matches the Rfam family "Bacterial large subunit ribosomal RNA", at positions 661 to 2325 of the family's 2925-position model. Lineage: Bacteria; Pseudomonadati; Pseudomonadota; Gammaproteobacteria; Pasteurellales; Pasteurellaceae. The record is from RNAcentral.
GGGAGCCGAAGGGAAACCGAGUCUUAACUGGGCGAGUAGUUGCAAGGUAUAGACCCGAAACCCGGUGAUCUAGCCAUGGGCAGGUUGAAGGUUGGGUAACACUAACUGGAGGACCGAACCGACUAAUGUUGAAAAAUUAGCGGAUGACUUGUGGCUGGGGGUGAAAGGCCAAUCAAACCGGGAGAUAGCUGGUUCUCCCCGAAAUCUAUUUAGGUAGAGCCUUGAGGUGACACCUUUGGGGGUAGAGCACUGUUUCGGCUAGGGGUCCAUCCCGGAUUACCAACCCGAUGCAAACUACGAAUACCAAAGAGUGAUACUCAGGAGACACACGGCGGGUGCUAACGUCCGUCGUGGAGAGGGAAACAACCCAGACCGCCAGCUAAGGUCCCCAAGUCUAUAUUAAGUGGGAAACGAAGUGGGAAGGCUUAGACAGCUAGGAUGUUGGCUUAGAAGCAGCCAUCAUUUAAAGAAAGCGUAAUAGCUCACUAGUCGAGUCGGCCUGCGCGGAAGAUGUAACGGGGCUGAAAUAUAGCACCGAAGCUGCGGCAUCAGGCGUAUCACUAAUACGCCUUACGAUUAACAAGCUAGAAUGGCGCGAAGCGACAUGAAAGGUUGUUCAAGCAACCCGAACGUUGAGUCGGGUAUCUUAGAGUGAGGAUGAUUAGUGAUACGCCUGUUGGGUAGGGGAGCGUUGUGUAAGCGGAAGAAGGUUCAUCGAGAGGUGGGCUGGACGUAUCACAAGUGCGAAUGCUGACAUAAGUAACGAUAAAACGGGUGAAAAACCCGUUCGCCGGAAGACCAAGGGUUCCUGUCCAACGUUAAUCGGGGCAGGGUGAGUCGGCUCCUAAGGCGAGGCUGAAAAGCGUAGUCGAUGGGAAACAGGUUAAUAUUCCUGUACUUGGUAAAGCUGCGAUGUGGGGACGGAGUAGGUUAGGUUAUCGCACUGUUGGAUAUGUGCGUUUAAGUUGGUAGGUGGGAAGUUUAGGCAAAUCCGGACUUCCUUAACACAGAGAGAUGAUGACGAGGCUCUACGGAGCUGAAGUAACUGAUACCACACUUCCAGGAAAAGCCACUAAGCGAAAGGCUUUACUAAACCGUACUGAAAACCGACACAGGUGGUCAGGUAGAGAAUACUCAGGCGCUUGAGAGAACUCGGGUGAAGGAACUAGGCAAAAUAGCACCGUAACUUCGGGAGAAGGUGCGCCGGCGUAGAUUGUAGUCCCUAGCGGGCGAAGGUUGAACCGGUCGAAGAUACCAGCUGGCUGCAACUGUUUAUUAAAAACACAGCACUCUGCAAACACGAAAGUGGACGUAUAGGGUGUGAUGCCUGCCCGGUGCUGGAAGGUUAAUUGAUGGUGUCAUCGCAAGAGAAGCACCUGAUCGAAGCCCCAGUAAACGGCGGCCGUAACUAUAACGGUCCUAAGGUAGCGAAAUUCCUUGUCGGGUAAGUUCCGACCUGCACGAAUGGCAUAAUGAUGGCCAGGCUGUCUCCACCCGAGACUCAGUGAAAUUGAAAUCGCCGUGAAGAUGCGGUGUACCCGCGGCUAGACGGAAAGACCCCGUGAACCUUUACUAUAGCUUGACACUGAACAUUGAAUUUUGAUGUGUAGGAUAGGUGGGAGACUUAGAAGUAGGAACGCCAGUUUCUAUGGAGUCAUCCUUGAAAUACCACCCUUUAACGUUUGAUGUUCUAACGAAGAUGACGAAACGCGGUCUCGGACAGUGUCUGGUGGGUAGUUUGACUGGGGCGGUCUCCUCCCAAAGCGUAACGGAGGAGCACGAAGGUUUGCUAAU